CAGGACACACUAUAAAAGCAGUGGCAUCGCACAGCUCUCUAACCACUGCAGCAGCAGCAUCCUCUUGGUGACUGAAGUGGGUUUAUCUCCAUUGCAGAAGGAUGUCACAGUCACUCAGCUCCCGGUGCCUUCCGCCUUGUGAUGUGACAUGCCCCAGACCAUGCGCCGAUGCCUGGAACUGGCCAUGUGUUACAUCUUGCGGUGACUCGAGGGCAGUGGUCUACCCACCUCCAGUUGUUGUGAACUUCCCAGGACCGAUCCUUGCCUCCUGCCCUCAGGAGAGCAUUGUGGGCACCGUUUUGCCACAGCAAUCUGGUGACAUAGGCCCAUUCCCCUAUGGGUCUAGUUCUGCCUAUGGGUCUGGUUCUAGCUAUGGGUUUGGUGGUGGCUAUGGGUCUGGUUCUGGCUAUGGGUCUGGUUCUAGGUAUGGGUUUGGUUCUGGCUAUGGGUUUGGUUCUGGCUAUGGGUCUGGCAGUUGCUAUGGGUCUGUGUCAUCCCGAAGGUACCAUAAGUUCAGCUCUGGAAGUUGUGGACCAUGCUAAGCCCAGCAAGAACGUUUGCAGAACAAGGAAACCUCAGGCAAUGAAAAGCAAGAUACAGCACCACAGCUGGGCUGGUGGAGCUCGCUCUCAGACUUGCCCACAACCUUUCUAUGUUAUGCUUCAUCUUCCAGUAAUAUCUAUUUCCUCUAAAGAGUCUUAAACCAGCGUGGCCUUAAACCUCAGCUUGCAUUGUUCUUUGCCCUAUUUGAUGCUGGCCAGAGUGAGACAAGGAUAGUCACCUGGUAGGAACAGGACUUGAUUGUCAAGCUCCAGUCAUACAACCAUGAAAGAAGACCAUCUUUUGCAAACCCCAUCACAAUGGACUGUAACUUGGACUGAAACCCUGGCGACCCCUUCUUUGUACUCCUCCUCAUUUCAUUCUGCAAAUGUGUGUUCCAUUUUUCCUAUGCAAUAAAAAACCCUGUUGCAAUAUA
This is a long non-coding RNA of Alligator sinensis (Chinese alligator), 976 nucleotides long. RefSeq lists it as uncharacterized. The transcript has 2 exons. The record is from RefSeq and is a predicted model, not a curated record. NCBI's taxonomy places the organism in Eukaryota, Metazoa, Chordata, Crocodylia, Alligatoridae.